UACGUAGGGGGCUAGCGUUGUCCGGAAUCAUUGGGCGUAAAGCGCGUGUAGGCGGUUCGGUAAGUCCGCUGUGAAAGUCGGGGGCUCAACCCUCGAAUGCCGGUGGAUACUGUCGGACUAGAGUACGGAAGAGGCGAGUGGAAUUCCUGGUGUAGCGGUGAAAUGCGCAGAUAUCAGGAGGAACACCAGUGGCGAAGGCGACUCUUUGGCCUGUAACUGACACUGAGGCGCGAAAGCGUGGGGAGCAAACAGG
RNAcentral lists this ribosomal RNA (253 nucleotides) under uncultured bacterium. RNAcentral describes it as "partial 16S ribosomal RNA". It matches the Rfam family "Bacterial small subunit ribosomal RNA", at positions 524 to 776 of the family's 1533-position model. The record is from RNAcentral.